Molecule: unclassified non-coding RNA, 63 nt
Filed under: Vreelandella aquamarina
Lineage: Bacteria; Pseudomonadati; Pseudomonadota; Gammaproteobacteria; Oceanospirillales; Halomonadaceae
Source: RNAcentral
CGGGAUGGGCGAACAGGAGUCAGCAGAGGCCAUAUUAGGCUCUCUAACCAAGAGCUGAAGGGC